Molecule: ribosomal RNA, 764 nt
Filed under: Lepraria subalbicans
Lineage: Eukaryota; Fungi; Ascomycota; Lecanoromycetes; Lecanorales; Stereocaulaceae
Description: partial small subunit ribosomal RNA
Rfam family: Bacterial small subunit ribosomal RNA
Source: RNAcentral
GGAAUGUAUAGCAAUAGCUGAUUGCACCAACAAAUAGUUGAUGCAAUAUUGACUCUGUCAAAUAAAAUUCUAGGUAGAAUUAUGAUAAUGACAUUGUCUGCCUAUAUGUCUUGACCAAAUUACGUGCCAGCAGUCGCGGUAAUACGUAGAAGACUAGUGUUAUUCAUCUUUAAUAGGUUUAAAGGGUACCUAGACGGUAAAUCAAGCCUUCACAGGGACUAAUUUACUAGAGUUACUUACGAGGGGGUAUUAAAGUACUGCAGGUGUAGAGAUGAAAUUCUGUCAUACCUCUUUUCAAAAGAAAAAUUAUGGCACAGGUAUAGGUGAAAGCAUCCCCUUAUGUGAUAACUGACGUUGAAGGACGAAGGCUUUGUGUCGCGAACAGGAUUAGAUACCCCAGUAGUCAAAGCAGAAAAUGAUGAAUGUCAUAGAUUAGAUAAAUAGUUUAUUCUAUAAAUGAAAAUGUAAGCAUUCCACCUCAAGAGUAAUUUGGCAACAUUGGAACUGAAAUCAUUAGACCGUUUCUGAAACCAGUAGUGAAGUAUGUUGUUUAAUUUGAUGAUCCGCAAAAAACCUUACCACAAUUUGAAUAUUUAUAUCUAUUUUUUUUUUUCGUAAAAAAAUAAAAAGGUAAUAUAUUUACAAGCGUUGCACGGCUGUCUUCAGUUAAUGUCGCGAGACUUUGGUUAGUUCCAUUAAAUUAACGUAAACCCUUACUUUAUUUUUAUAUGAAGUAGUUCCCCGCUAUAUUGGAUAUGAUAACA